CUGGAGCAGAGGGGACUGUAGGGUAAGAAGUAGGAGUCACUGGCAAAGUGAAGAGGGAAUGCUGGUAGGAGUUGGGAUGGACAGGACAUCAUUUUACAGGUAGAGAGAAAGAAGUCCAGAGUCUGGUAGAGCACAGAAUGCCUGGUACCUUCAAAGACCUGAAGGAAGAUCUCUGUUUCUCGGUUUUGGAAACUCAUAAACCAAGAGAUUGACUGUGGACAUUUCCUGAGAGAUCCCUUUGAAAACCCAGAGUUGAAAAAUUCGAGGUGGGAACUGCUGAACAAGAUCAGCUAUCAUGAUGCCCCUUCGGAAGGAAGCUCCCUGACAUUUUCCCUCACGUGAUACGAGACGAUGAUGGGUCUCUUCCGUCUUCUGAGUCUGUACGUUGGCCACGAUGGACUUCAAUGAAACAUCCCCUUCCUGGCUCCCUCUACUGCCCCCUGGGAUGGCAGCCCUAUGGGGUCACAUACAUCAUCAACUCACGCCAAAGGCAUAGCAUGGGUUGAAGAGAGCAUCAGGCUUGUAGAGACGAGGCAAGCAUUAGGGGCAGCACAAUGAGUGAGCAAUGCUGGGAAACGACCAGCUGCAAAAUCCUCCAUCAGCUUUGGUGUAAGCUAAUGACCCAGCUCUGACGUUCUUCCUUCAGGCCAUGUUUCAGGACUCACACUAUCUGGGUAAUUAGGACUCCUUUCCAGCCAAAAUGAGAAACCUGGCUUUGUGAAAUGCUUGGAAAGAAAGCAGAGUAUAUAUGGAAGCCAGCGGAUACCUGACCUGGGAGCCAACUCAUUAGGACGAAUAACAGAUGAGUUUGUUGUUUUGCCUUCACUGAUCUAAGGAUGUUCUGUUGCUUCAAAACCCCCAAGUCUGGCUCUGGUGAUUGGCUGUUGCUUUGGUUGCCCUGAUGUAAUUAUUGAUGUGAAUGGCAUUAAUGGACCGUGGAAUAGUUGGCAUCCAUGUAUGGAUGAACUGAUUUAGACCGGCUACCAAAGUGACCCAGUUUGUUGUUUGGUAAUUGGUUAUGAAGUGAGCCAACACUUACAGACUUAGCAAUUCAGUCGUCGUACAUCGUAAGAGACACAGAAAGAAAAGGAGUGCUCUACAGUGUGUGUUCUGUACUUUCUUAAACAAAUACUGUGGAGGCCCUGCUGUGGGCCAGGUGCUGUGCUAGGUUCUGAGAAGGCGUCAGAGGCGGGAUUAGAAGGUGAACAAGAACAAAAGCAAAAAUAAACAAAUGGGACCCAAUUAAACUUAAAAACUUUUGCACAGUGAAGGAAACCAUCAACAAAAUGGGCAGAGGACCUACUGAAUGGGAGCAGAUGGUGCAAACGAUGUGUCUGACAAGGGGUAAUACCCGAAACACAUACACAGCUCAUGCAACUUAGUAUCGGAAAAACAAACAACCUGAUUAAAAAAAUGGGCAGAAGACCUGAACAGACAGUUUUCCAAAGAAGACAAACGUGGCCAACAGGCACAUGAAGAGAUGCUCAACGUCACUAAUCAUCGGGGAAACGCAAAUCCAAGCCACAAGGAGAUAUCAACUCCUGCCUGUUAGACUGGCUAUUGUAAAAAGACAAUGAAUAAUAAAUGCUGGGGAGGAUGUGGAGAAAAGGGACCCUUGUGCACUGUUAGUGGGAAUGGAAAUUGGUGCAGCCACUGUGGAAAACAGUAGGGAGGUUCCUCAAAAAGCUAAAAAUAGAGCUAACAUACGAUCCAGCAAUUCCACUCCUGGGCAUACAUCUGAAGAAAACAAAAACUAAUUUGAAAAGAUACACACACCCCAAUGUUCAUAGUAGCAUUAUUUAAAAUAGCCAAGACAUGGAAACAACAUAAGGGUCCAUCAACUGGUGAAUGGGUAAAGAAGACGUGGAAUAGUACUCAGCCAGGAAAAGAAUGAAAUGUUGCCAUUUGAAACAACACAGAUGCACCCGGAGGAUAUUAUGCUUACUGAAGUAAGUCAGACAGAGAAAGACAACAACUGUGUUGUUUUCAUUUAUCUGCGGAAGCUAACAAGUAAAACGAAUGAAUAUAACAAACAACAACAAAGAAAGAGAGGUUGAGCAGGACAUUGCUUCUGAUCUUGACUGGGGUUCAUUUGGCUAAAGAAGGGUUUAGGCCCCAUACCCUAUUUUACCCAACUCAGGAAGGGGUCUGGAAAGCAUUAAAGUUUAAAAUGCAGGAAUGUGCAGGAAUGUUCAGGACCACUGUGUAAAAGCUCAGCAUAAAAAUGCCAGGCAGGCUGAGGCUUGGGAGAAAGUAUAGUUAAAAGUCACUCUGUUUACUUCCUAAUGUUGUCCUAACAGUGCCAGAAUUGGGCCGCAUAAAACAUCAAGGAAUUGAAUCUUUCAUAGCUGGAGGCCGGAAGUCCAAAAUCCAGGUGUCAGCAGGGUUGGUUCCCUCUCAGGGGUCCAAGGACCGUACCUGCCCGUGCUUCUUCCUAGCUUCUAGGGGUGGCUGCCAGCCUUUGUCGUUCCUUGGCCUGUAGCUGCAUGACUCCAGUCUCUGCGUCGGUUGUCACGUGACCACAUGCCCUCUGUGCCUUUCCAACUCUGGGCACAGUGCUAUUUUACUCUUUUAUCUCGAAAGUUUGUGCCAUUAAUUUUGAGGAGAAUUGGAAGAAGGUACAUUGAUCAAUGAAAUCCACUCUCAUGGAAAAAACAAUUGGGCACAUGUAUUUUUUGUGAGAUGCCACUUGUCAUCGUUCUAUGACAUCAUUCUUAGAGUACCGGUCAUACCAGUUGGUUAGUUUCUCUUCCUAAGGGAAGUAAACAGUUUUUGCCAUUGUUGCAUUAGUCAGGAUAGGCUAAAUCAUACUGCAGUAAUAAGGAACUCCAAAAUCUCAGUGGCUGAACAUUAAGAAAGUUGCUGUGUCUGUUGUGUGACAGCUCUCAUUUCUAGCUCAGGCUGCAGGCCAGCAGGAAGACCCUAUUUAAUACAGUCACUCAGAAACCUAGGCAGACAGAAGCUCCAUUUCAGCCCAGACUUUCAAGAUCACUGCAGCAGGGGACAGGGAACUGGCAGACCCCACACUGGCUGUUAAGACUCCUGUUCAUGUUUCAUUAGCUCAGCGCAGUUGCCAGACCGGAUACAACCAUAACCCGGUGGAGAAGUUCAGGCCCGCUGUGUACCUGGAGGAAGGGUAAUUAGAGUAUUUGUGAACAGCCGUAAUGCCUACCGAAUUCAGAUGCCAAUUUCUUCAGCUCCAGGGUCGUUACCCAUUGACAUCACCAUUCUUUGCAGUUUGGGAGAGGGAGCAUUCUCCCGUGCAGAAUGGAACUUUGGCCAAUCAACUGAACCCAAGGCUGAGCAAACUCUUAGACCCACGGCCAUGUGUAAUAAUGGAAAUAAUAAGAGCAAAGGCUUAGAACGGGACAAAGGAUAUGUGGUCAUCUCUUGAAUAGUCUUAUGAUCAGUAUUCAAUCAUUUAUAAUUAUUUAAUACAGAAGUUACAAAGAUAAUCUUUCUACCUAAGUUUGCAAUUUAUCUAGUUUACUUAGGCCUUAUAGAAAACUUAGCCAAGGAUGGUCAAGUAAUGCAAUUAGUGUGAACCUCAUUUAGAUGGUCACGUUUCUCCUGCGUUGGCAUUUUUGAAUCUAGUCUAUCUUUGGCUAGAGGGACCCUGUAGAGACUUCUGUCUAUGCUGUGAGUUCCUCUUUCUGCAACUUCAAGUGUCUUUUUGUUUUUCCUCUUUGAGAUAAAAUUGGAGAGCCCCAUCAUUUUCUUUUCCUUCACAGGAAAGUGUUUAGUCAGGAGGGGAAACAAACCAAUUAGGAUGGUGCUAAAGAGUGAUCCCUAAUCAAGUUACAUUUUAAUGGAGCCUCAGGAUUUACCGAUGAACUCUUUCAACAGUGAGGACAGCACUGGAACGAAAAGAGAAAAAAUAAGCACUAGUCUUCCAUUUCAAGAAGUCAAAAAACGUUGCCCUUUUUUUUUCUUCUUCAAAAUUAAAGGAUUGCACUGGAGCAGUUUCCACUGGUGCUGUUAUACAUCUGCCACAAAAGAACAACUCUGAAUAAUGAACAUCCUACCUUCACAGCAGGAGACCAAGCUGCGGAGAGGCUCUGGAUAGUGAUGUACUUAAUAAUUAGAAAUAUGAGCAGGAAUUGACCUUCCAAGUUGGAUAUAUUAUUAUUCACUUUACCUGCUCACUGUCACAGUGGGUGCUGUCACAGAGACUGUGACUAAAAACCCUGAUAAAGAUGUCUCCGCCAAGUCCCAUAAAUAACCUAUUUGCCAAUUGUGCCUGAGGUGUACAUGGCAUAUGCUUAGAUCCCUGUGGGAAUCUGGAUGUGGCAAGUGGCUUGGAGUUUACAGAGAAUUUGUACCCAGUUUGUAGGUAAGGGACACACUGUACCUAAGGCAGUGGGCCAGUGUCCUCCAGAAAUAGCCACCUGCUCCUUAGAGAGGAGAUUAAUGUGGGCUACGUGCUAUCCCUGAAAAUGAGGGGCCAUCCAAUGCCAUCUAUUUUUUAAUAGUCUUUACAUAUGUAGUGAAAUAUACACGCUUUCAGGAAAGAACAUAAGACUGAAUUUCAAAAGCAUGACUCUCCCUGUUUGAGGCGACUCACGACGGCUGUCCUCACCUGGUUUCACUGCCCACCGGAAAGGCCAGCCUUCAGGCCUCAAGGUGUAGAAGGGAUAUUAACAAUUAGCGGUGAAGGGGGUGUUCAGGGCUUAUUACGUGUUAUAGUUCCCAGAGGAGCCAACAGCAUCACCACCCAAUGUGAGUUUUCACACAUGGUUCCGUGUCCUUUUCUGGUUUAAGGUCUGUGCUCUGCUCAUGAUUUCAAUGUAAUAAUUCGUGUGAAAGCACCUGGCACAGUACCUGCAGACAGUAGGUGCUCAAUAGUUGGCAGUUUCCCUCUCUGUACCCUUUGCUGCAGCUUAGCAGCAGUGACGUCAGCCUGGAGCGCGCAGAUGAGGCCUGAGUUCCCUCUUGGGUGUGAUCAGUAGUCAUCCUCAGGUAAUGCCUUGCAUUUGAGAAUCUCACCCUCCUCCGGCCAUCAUGUAGUCCAAUAGCCCAAGUCUCAAGAAGGCAUUGGCAAAUGUAAAAAUUUGAGGUUGAUGAGGCCAGUCCUGGAGGUACUCACCGGUCCAGACAGUGCCCCGCAGUAGGCCAGUGAAGACCAGCAGUUAGGAUGAGUGAAUUUCACUGCAUAUGGGGCUGGCAGGGAAACACGCGAUUGCAUCAGCUUCCUGGGGCAGCGGGGGAAUGUCAAGUACAAGAGGCAGAAGGAACCACGCAGCCUGCUCUUUGAAGGUUAAUUCUUUCGCUUUGCAGGGCAGCUCUCCACCUGCAGAGCCCAGCCGAGGGGGAAUUCACUGGCGCGGUGCAUAUGCUCCAUAUUGCAGCCGAGUGCGGGGCACCUCUCUCAACCCUGGCCUUUUGCUGUGGUGCCUGAGGACCAAAGGGCACUCCCUUAGCGCCGCUGUCAGCAGCUCCCGCCUCCCUCCCUUCUCCGUAACCUCUGCACCGCCCACAGCCCACAUCGGUGGGGUCAUAUGAAUGGCAGUGUCUCUUCUCCGCCAUCUGGUGAUUCAUUCUUCCCUCCCCGCUGCCUGGAACCGUGAGAGCUGCUCGCAGGUUGCCAAGUCAGCUGGAGAGGACGGCUGCUGCCUGCGACCCGCCAGACAGCGGGGCAUCUUCAGAGCCCUCGCGACACGCUCCAAUCACGUGCAACGGCUGAGUCGAAAUAAAAAAAUAUCGCACCAAAUGAACACACUAAUUAGUUAAUUAAUUAAUAAGCGACUUGGUGUGUGUAUGGGUUAUAGAUCCAAAGAGACAGGGACGUGUGAAGGAUUCAUACUGUUAUUUUUUGUGUUCAGAUAGAUUUGAAAAAGUACAUCAUAGGGACAGGGUAUAGGUCAGUGGUAGCGUGCAUGCCUAGCAUGCAUGAGGUCCAGGGUUCAAUCCCCAGCACCUCCAUUAAAGUCAAUAAAUAAACCUAAUUACCUCCCCCCCAAAACGAAACAAAAAAAGUGUUUCACGGAAGGCUUCUAUUGGUUUCCUAGGGCAGCCAGAACAAAUUUACCACAAACUGGGUGGUUUAAAACAACAAAAAUGUAUUGUCUCACAGUUCUGGAGGCUGGAAGUCUGAACUCAAGGUGUGGGCAGGGUUGGUUCCUUCUGGAGGGAGAAUUUGUCUCAUGUCUCUCUCCUGCCUUUCGGUGGUUGCCGACAAUCCUUGAUACUCCUUGGCUUAUAGAUGCAGCCCUCCGACCUCUGCCUCGGUCGCCACAUGGCGUUCCCCUCUCGGUCUCUGUUUCUGUGUCCAAUUUUCUCUCAUAAAGAUACCAAUCAUUGGAUUAGGACUCACCCUAAUCCAGUGUGACCUCAUCUCCAUUUGAUUAUAUGUAUAAACGAAGACCCUAUUUCCAAAUAAGGUCUAAUCACAGGUAGUGGGAGUUAGGACUUGAACAUAUCUUUGUGGCAGAUACAAUUCAAGACUCAAAGGCAGUGCAGUUAAAAAAAAAGAGUAGCCUUUUUCAAUAAAUGAGGCUAGAACGAUUGGAUAUACAUAUGUCAAAAAAAAAAAAAAAGAGCUUCAAUUCAUACUUAACAAUCUACAAAGGUAAACCCCAAAUGAAUCAUAGACCUAAUGUAAAACCUAAAACCACAAAAGUUCUAGAGAAAAAUGGAAGAAAAUAUUUGUGAUCUUGGGGAGGCGAAGAUUUUUCUUUUUAAAUGACAUCAAAAAGACAAUCUAUAAGGGAACAAAUUGAUGAAUUGGAUUUUAUCAAGACAGAAAACUCCUGCUCUUCAGAAGACAUUGUUAAGGGAAUGAACAAGCCACAGACUGGGAGAAAAUCUUUGCAAAGUACAUACGUGAGAAAACACUCAUAUCCAGGAAAUAAAAAGACAUUUUAAAACUCAACAGUAAGGGAACAAAUAGCUCAAUUAAAAGUGGGCAAAGAUCUCUGGAUACUCCACCAAAGAAGAUAUUUGUGGGGAGCAAAUAACACAUGAAAAGAUGUUCAACAUUACUAGUCAUUAAAACCACAAACUAAAACCACAGUGAGAUACCACAACAUUCCUGUUAUAAUGACUAAAAUGAAAACAACUGACCAUACCAAGUGUUGGUGAAGAUGGAGAGGAAAUGGAACCAUAUGAUAUGCUGCUGGUGGGAAUGUAAAAUGGUAAGAAAGAUUUUGGAAAAUAGUUCGACAAUUUAAAAAAUGAGAAGAAAAACACGUACCUACCAUAGGACUCUGGCCAUUCCACUGCCAAGCAUUUGCCAAAGAGAAAAGAAAAUAUAUGUCCACACAAAGACUCACACACAGAUGUUCUUAGCAACUUAACUUGUAACAGCCAAAAGCUGCAAACAAUCAAAAUGACCAUUAACAUAUGAAUUGCUAUGGACAGAAUUGUGCCCCCACCAUCAAAUUCAUAUGUGAAGCCCUAACCUCUAAUGUGACUGUAUUAAGAGUAAGGAAGUAAUUAAGGUUAAAUGAGGUUAUAUGGUUGGGACCCUAAUCUGCUAUGAUAGGAAGACACACCAGAGAGCCUGCUUGCUCCCUCCACCAUGUAAGGUUUCAAUGAGAGGGUGGUCAUCUGAAAACCAGGAAGAGAGUCCUCACUGGAAUCUGACCAUGUUGGCAUCCUGAACUUGAACUUAGGGCUUCUAGAACUAAGAGAAAAUAAAUUUCUAUUAUCUAAGCCACCCAAUUUAUGAUACUUUAUUUUGGCAGCAUGAACAGACUAUGUGAAUGAAUACAUGGAUGAAUAAACAAGUUGUGGUAUAUCUAUGUAAAAGAAUACUGCUUAGUAACAAAAAGCAACAACUAAUGAUACACACAGUGGUGUGAAUAAAUCUCAAAAUAAUAAUGCUGAGUGAAAGAAGCCAGACCCCCUUCCCCCAAUACAAAAAAAAAAAGAGUACACAUCGUAUGACUCCAUUUAUAUAAAACUCUAGAAAAUGCAAACUUAUCCAUAGUGAUAGCUCAUCAGUGGUUGCUUGCAGUUGGGGAGAGGUGAUUGGCAGGGAUGGGAGAAACAUAUUACAGUGGGGUGUGAGAAGAAUUUUGAGGAUAACAUAUAUUUACUAUCUUGAUUGGGGUGAUAGCUUCAUGGGUGUGUACAUAUGUCAAAACUUAUUAAAUUGUAUACUUACCUGUAGUUCAUUGUAUAUUAAUUAUUCCUCAAUUAAAAUAUAUUGUGUAUCUGUUAUAUAUCAGAUAUUUUGCUAUGUAUUUUCAUGAAAUAUUAAUUUAUUUCUGAAAGUAUGGCAUGGUGGGAAUAAAACUGAAUUUCAGAGAAUAAUAUACCUCUGGAACAAGAAUGUAUUCUAUAGAGAGGUGGGGGAGGGAAGAGAGAAAAGACAUAGUGAAUACAAUCCAAAGUGAUUCCUGGGACAGAGAGGGAGGAGGCAGGGUAGAAAAAAAAUGGAAAGGCAACAUGGCUGAUUGUGUUUUCCAGCAAUGGGCACAUUAUUUUUUCUUACAAUGUAGCUCUGAUACUCUUUCCAUUGAGAGGUGGAGUCUAUGUCCCCUCUUUUUCGAUAUGAAGAGAACUGUGACUUCUUUGGAGGUAAUGCUAUAUGACUUCUGAAAUCACGAAAGGUGAUUCAGCUUCUGCCUAGUUUUCUUGUGAUGUUCACUCCUGGAACCUAGACCCCAUGAUGUGAGGAAGCCCAAGUAGCUAUGAGGAGAUCUUGUUGACAGCUCCAUCUGGGGUCUUAGCUGAUAGCCACAUCAACCACCAGACAUAUUGGUGAGCAAGUGUUUGGAUGAGUUCAGUCCUAGCCCUUGAAUCACCCCAGCUAAGGUUCUGACAUUGUGGAGCAGAGGAGAGGUGUCAUUAAUGCAUCCUUCCUGAAUUCCCAACCGACCCACAGGAUCUGUGAGCACAAUAAAAUGAUUGUUGUUUUAUA
Long non-coding RNA from Camelus dromedarius (Arabian camel), 8866 nucleotides. RefSeq lists it as uncharacterized. The record is from RefSeq and is a predicted model, not a curated record. NCBI's taxonomy places the organism in Eukaryota, Metazoa, Chordata, Mammalia, Artiodactyla, Camelidae. The transcript is spliced from 8 exons.